This 460-nucleotide ribosomal RNA is filed under the name uncultured bacterium. Its description in RNAcentral is "bacterial SSU rRNA". It matches the Rfam family "Bacterial small subunit ribosomal RNA", at positions 340 to 783 of the family's 1533-position model. The record is from RNAcentral.
UACGGAAGGCAGCAGUGGGGGAAUAUUGCACAAUGGGCGAAAGCCUGAUGCAGCUAUGCCGCGUGUAUGAAGAAGGCCCUUAGGGGUUGUAAAGUACUUUUCAUCGGGGAGGAAAAAACAAAACUAAUAAUUUUAUUUUCUUUGACGUUACCCGAAAAAGAAGCACCGGCUAACUCCGUGCCAGCAGCCGCGGUAAUACGGAGGGUGCUAGCGUUAAUCAGAAUUACUGGGCGUAAAGAGCACGUAGGUGGUUUUUUUAAGUUCAGAUGUGAAAUCCCCUGGGCUUAACCUAGGAACUGCAUUUUGAAACUGAAAUACUAGAGUAUCGUAGAGGGAGGUAGAAUUCUAGGUGUAGCGGUGAAAUACGUAGAUAUCUGGAGGAAUACCUGUGGCGAAAGCGGCCUCCUAAACGAAUACUGACACUGAGGUGCGAAAGCUGGGGAGCAAACAGGGAUUAGAU